RNAcentral lists this ribosomal RNA (875 nucleotides) under Saccharomyces cerevisiae (brewer's yeast). RNAcentral describes it as "eukaryotic LSU rRNA". The stretch from base 396 to 549 matches the Rfam family "5.8S ribosomal RNA". Lineage: Eukaryota; Fungi; Ascomycota; Saccharomycetes; Saccharomycetales; Saccharomycetaceae. The record is from RNAcentral.
UAGGUGAACCUGCGGAAAGAUCAUUAAAGAAAUUUAAUAAUUUUGAAAAUGGAUUUUUUUUUUUUUGUUUUGGCAAGAGCAUGAGAGCUUUUACUGGGCAAGAAGACAAGAGAUGGAGAGUCCAGCCGGGCCUGCGCUUAAGUGCGCGGUCUUGCUAGGCUUGUAAGUUUCUUUCUUGCUAUUCCAAACGGUGAGAGAUUUCUGUGCUUUUGUUAUAGGACAAUUAAAACCGUUUCAAUACAACACACUGUGGAGUUUUCAUAUCUUUGCAACUUUUUCUUUGGGCAUUCGAGCAAUCGGGGCCCAGAGGUUAACAAACACAAACAAUUUUAUCUAUUCAUUAAAUUUUUGUCAAAAACAAGAAUUUUCGUAACUGGAAAUUUUAAAAUAUUAAAAACUUUCAACAACGGAUCUCUUGGUUCUCGCAUCGAUGAAGAACGCAGCGAAAUGCGAUACGUAAUGUGAAUUGCAGAAUUCCGUGAAUCAUCGAAUCUUUGAACGCACAUUGCGCCCCUUGGUAUUCCAGGGGGCAUGCCUGUUUGAGCGUCGUUUCCUUCUCAAACAUUCUGUUUGGUAGUGAGUGAUACUCUUUGGAGUUAACUUGAAAUUGCUGGCCUUUUCAUUGGAUGUUUUUUUUUCCAAAGAGAGGUUUCUCUGCGUGCUUGAGGUAUAAUGCAAGUACGGUCGUUUUAGGUUUUACCAACUGCGGCUAAUCUUUUUUAUACUGAGCGUAUUGGAACGUUAUCGAUAAGAAGAGAGCGUCUAGGCGAACAUGUUCUUAAAGUUUGACCUCAAAUCAGUAGGAGUACCCGCUGACUUAGCAUAUCAUAGCGAGAAAAGAAUCAUCGGGAUUGCUAGUACGGCGAGUGACAGGA